AGGGCUCAUGUGACCAAUGUCCUUUUCAUUCAGGCCUAGGGAAACCAGUAUCUGCCAAAAAGAUUAGUGCUCCCAAAAGGGCAACCAUCUUCAGCAAGGCCUGUUGUACUGUGUCAAAUACAAAGCCAUCUUAAUAUGAAAAAAAGCAGGCAGAAAAGGGGAUAAUUGUAAUGAUGAAGAUAGAGUCAAUCAUUCUUCCUUGUUAUUUGGACUACACGGAUCUGGUCAUGCUGUGGUUCAGCUCUUGACCCAGAGAAUAUGAGCACAUGUAACCACAACCUAAUGUAAUGGAGUUCUAGGUCCUGCCCUAGCCUUAUAUAACCUCCCAUUUAGAAUGUGUAUAACAUUGGGUAAAGUGAUGGACCUCAAUGAAAUAACAUUACAUGUAGUUCUAUGCUUCAAGUAAAUGCUUGGAUAUUAUGAUUUUGUAACAGAAGUCAUGGGGUUUGAAAUGGCUAUUUCUUUAACCUUUGGCCCAUCUCUUUUAUAAUAAAAGCAGGCCAUCAAAUGAAGUGCUGGUUCUUAGGAGAGAGAUGGCGUCAAGCCAACUGCAAAGAAGGUAAGACUGAAAGGAAGGGCAUAUCCUUUUACUAACCCAGGGAGAAGAGUCUGUCAAAAUUGGUUCUGGCACAAAAGAUGGAAUAAAGCUUUAAAAAUGGU
Molecule: long non-coding RNA, 660 nt
Organism: Homo sapiens (human)
Lineage: Eukaryota; Metazoa; Chordata; Mammalia; Primates; Hominidae
Gene: SNHG22
Product: small nucleolar RNA host gene 22
Source: Ensembl